AUCCAGGUGACGAGUCCUAAAUAGGACGAAAUGCGCAUUAUGCUGUAU
Molecule: non-coding RNA, 48 nt
Filed under: Trichobilharzia regenti
Lineage: Eukaryota; Metazoa; Platyhelminthes; Trematoda; Strigeidida; Schistosomatidae
Source: RNAcentral